RNAcentral lists this ribosomal RNA (432 nucleotides) under uncultured bacterium. Its description in RNAcentral is "partial 16S ribosomal RNA". It matches the Rfam family "Bacterial small subunit ribosomal RNA", at positions 29 to 507 of the family's 1533-position model. The record is from RNAcentral.
ACGAACGCUGGCGGCAUGCCUCACACCUGCAAGUCGCACGAGACCUUCGGGUCUAGUGGCGCACGGGUGCGUAACGCGUGGGAACCUGCCCUUAGGUUCGGAAUAACUCCCCGAAAGGGGUGCUAAUACCGGAUAAUGUCUUCGGACCAAAGAUUUAUCGCCUUUGGAUGGGCCCGCGUUGGAUUAGCUAGUUGGUAGGGUAAAAGCCUACCAAGGCGACGAUCCAUAGCUGGUCUGAGAGGAUGAUCAGCCACACUGGGACUGAGACACGGCCCAGACUCCUACGGGAGGCAGCAGUGGGGAAUAUUGGACAAUGGGCGAAAGCCUGAUCCAGCAAUGCCGCGUGAGUGAUGAAGGCCUUAGGGUUGUAAAGCUCUUUUAACCGGGAUGAUAAUGACAGUACCGGGAGAAUAAGCGCCGGCUAACUCCGUG